RNAcentral lists this ribosomal RNA (439 nucleotides) under uncultured bacterium. RNAcentral describes it as "partial 16S ribosomal RNA". It matches the Rfam family "Bacterial small subunit ribosomal RNA", at positions 339 to 795 of the family's 1533-position model. The record is from RNAcentral.
CUACGGGACGCAGCAGUGGGGAAUAUUGCACAAUGGAGGAAACUCUGAUGCAGCAACGCCGCGUGGAGGAUGACACUUUUCGGAGCGUAAACUCCUUUUAUAUAGGAAGAAGAUGACGGUACUAUAUGAAUAAGCGCCGGUUAACUCCGUGCCAGCAGCCGCGGUAAUACGGAGGGCGCAAGCGUUACUCGGAAUCACAGGGCGUAAGGAGCGUGUAGGCGGAUUAAAAAGUCAGAAGUGAAAUCCUAUAGCUUAACUAUAGAACUGCUUCUGAAACUCUUAAUCUAGAAUAUGGGAGAGGUAGAUGGAAUUUCUGGUGUAGGGGUAACAUCCGUAGAGAUCAGAAGGAAUACCGAUUGCGAAGGCGAUCUACUAGAACAUUAUUGACGCUGAGACGCGAAAGCGUGGGGAGCAAACAGGAUUAGAUACCCGAGUAGUC